Molecule: microRNA, 23 nt
Filed under: Eisenia fetida (common brandling worm)
Lineage: Eukaryota; Metazoa; Annelida; Clitellata; Crassiclitellata; Lumbricidae
Description: Efe-Mir-315_5p (mature (guide))
Source: RNAcentral
UUUUGAUUGCUGCUCAGAAAGUC